GAGCGGACAGAUGGGAGCUUGCUCCCUGAUGUUAGCGGCGGACGGGUGAGUAACACGUGGGUAACCUGCCUGUAAGACUGGGAUAACUCCGGGAAACCGGGGCUAAUACCGGAUGCUUGAUUGAACCGCAUGGUUCAAUUAUAAAAGGGGGCUUUUACCUACCCCUUACAGAGGGCCCCCGGGCCCUUUACCUAUUUGGGGGGGGAAGGGCUCCCCAAGGGAACGAGGCGUACCCGACCUGAAAGGGGGAUCGGCCCCCCUGGGACUGAAAACCGGCCCAAACCCCUAGGGGGGGGAGCAGUAGGGAAUUUUCCCCAAGGGACAAAAGUCUGACGGACCACCCCCCCGGGAGGGAUGAAGGUUUUCGGAUCGAAAAACUUUGUUGUUAGGGAAAAACAAGUACCGUUCAAAUAGGGGGGAACCUUGACGGAACCUAACCAAAAACCCCCGGUUAAUUACGUGCCACCACCCGCGGAAUUACGUAGGUGGCA
RNAcentral lists this ribosomal RNA (491 nucleotides) under Bacillus licheniformis. RNAcentral's name for it is "partial 16S ribosomal RNA". It matches the Rfam family "Bacterial small subunit ribosomal RNA", at positions 64 to 536 of the family's 1533-position model. The record is from RNAcentral. Lineage: Bacteria; Bacillati; Bacillota; Bacilli; Caryophanales; Bacillaceae.